Henosepilachna vigintioctopunctata is the source of this 67-nucleotide non-coding RNA. Lineage: Eukaryota; Metazoa; Arthropoda; Insecta; Coleoptera; Coccinellidae. The record is from the annotation of a GenBank genome assembly.
GUCUCCGUGGCUUAGUCGGCAGAACACCUGACUAAGGUGCGGUCGGGUUCAAGCCCCGCUGAAGGCA